ACACCCCCAGCCCCUCCGUCGCGCUGUUCGGCCUCGGGCACCCGGCGGCUGCUGGGGAGGGAAACCGCCCUCACCCGCGCAGGGCCGAGCCGAGGGAGCGGGGCCAGCCCCGCCAGCCCGCCCGCAGCGCCCGGGGACGGGGGCGGGCGGGGGGCGCGGGCCUGCCAGCGGCAGCAAGGCCCGGCCUACGGCCGCGGCCCGCAAGGCCGAGGUGAGCGGGCGGCGGCCCCGCUGCCCGCCGCGGCCCUCGCUGAGGGGCAGGAGCCGGAGGUCGCAGGAAGGAACCCGGCGCUCCGCUCCCCGGCCCCGCACCGCGCUGCGGGCCGCUGUCGGCCGGCCGGCCGCGUCGGCGGGAGAUGGUUUUACUGCAGAGGUGCUCAUCGGCACUUCUUGAAGAUUGAUGGUCUGGUGUCAAAGAUGCAAAGCUGAAGGGUAUCAGCUCUGCUGUCCAGUUGGGUAGACCUUUUCACUACCUCACAGGCAAUGUAAUGUGUACCCUAAAGCUGUGAAGUGCUCAAGUUCUGUAACAGUAGAGUAGAGUUGCUGCAUAAACAAAUAUGCAUGAUCCAAAGAGACAUAAUUCCACGUCACAUUUCUCUAUGGUCCCUGUGGUGCUGUCGGCAGAGCUGAAAGAGAAACUGGCACAGGCUGAAAGGACGAUGGGCAGAGCGAGCGCUCGCUAGCAGGGCGACACAUGAUUUCUUCUGCACCGAGUGGGUUCUGACACCUUUGGUCCGCAGCCGCCCCACGUGGCUGCGAAAGACAAGCUACCAAAUGCUGUGCUCGCACACAUUUAGUAAUUAAUAGUAAAGCGAUGACUCAGAACAUUGAGGCAAAUUAAGCAGCACGUUAUCAAGAGAGUACUGCGGCAGCGGCUCAGCAGCCUACAUCAGAGAGCCUGCAGCACAAAGCAUAAGGAGACCUGAAGAGACGUCUGAAGUUACGGAGAAGGGGGCGAAGCAAGUCUUCUGCCCCAUUUCUGUGCGAAAGGAUGGCUGGUGCGAGAGGGCCCGGCGGUCCUGCCGGCCGGCGUGCCCGGGAGGUCUCAGCUGGAGGCAGCAGCUCCGUCCAGGCACUGCUGCCCGGGUGGCACAGCUGGCCAGCAACUGUAACUAACUGGCAGCUAACCAGCUGCAGCUUGGGGAAGAAGAUGCUCCAUAGAUACUAAGAAGUCAUCUUGUGGGAGGACUGCAGAGCUUUGCUUCUUUCCAGCAGUCGUAUUUGUGACCUGGUGUGAUGAAAUUUUCUGUAUUUAGCCGUUCCGUGGUAAAGAUGGCAAAAACUUCACUUUUAUCUGUCAGGGACAUUAUGUGUUGAUCUAUGCAGGGAAGAAAAACUAACUAUCCCUUGGGAAUUACCUGUGAUGGUAGCGUGUCGUCAUUUUCUUUAGCUCUUCCUCCCUACAGACAACAAAAAGGGAUGCCCCAUUUGUAAGGAACAUUUUGCGUUGAUACAAGUUAUCUGGGAGAAAAAGAAACAUCCCUUGGAAAUCACAUACCACAAUCAGUUUGGAAUUGAUUUAGUUGCUUUACAUUUCUUUUUUGCAGGAUAAUUUUGAUACAAAAUAUGGAACACGAUACCUGUAAAUCACUUCUGAAGGAGCCCUGUGGCCUCAGAGCUGAUAGUCUUUCCUGACCAUGUGCUAUGCCUUUCAGAGCAAUUGCAUUCAGCCUGUGUAUCGGCUUCCACUGCAGGUCCUAUAAGUGGUAAAAUCAUCUAAUUCACCAUUAAUUGAUUGCUACAUAUCAAUACGGAAAAUGGUGCAUUGCAGCAUUUGCAUCCUUUGUGCAAAAAAAUAAAGCAACAUUUUUAAUGAGAAAGGAAAAAGAAAGUAUGACAAUAAAUUGAAGAGGUUGUUCAUUUAAAUAGUUUCUAAAUGAAACAUUUGCAUUUUGCGACUAAAUCUACAUCCUGAUGUCUGAUAUCUGGAGCAAAUCUUGACGUAUCUUGGGUAUCUUCUUGAGUAUCUGCUUGGGCGAUAGGUCCAGUACUAAGGGUAAAUCUGCCAUCUUGCACAUGUUUGGCUCUCAGUACUCUCUUCUCAACACGUGAUUGCAUCUUAAAUUCUGCGCUCAAUGUUUCGUGUUUCUGGAAUGAGUGAAACCUGGGAAGGGGACAGAAGAGAGGUAAACCAGAUAUGCUAUUUCUUGGCUUUCAGGUCCCAUAUGAGCAAUUAAUUACAAAGCAGCCUUAGUAAAGAAUGCCAAUAUCCACAUAUAGUCCCCCUUACAAAAAUAAACUUUCUCCAGAAUAUACAUACACUUCAGAAACAUAAAAUUCAGAAAUAAUUUCAACAUAUUGAAAUACUAAUUUUAAAUGCAUUGCCCUAGAAUAGUACAACAAAGGUGAGGAAUGGGAAAGGGUAGAGAAGAGCUAUAGGAUAAAACAAGGCUUGAAGCUGGGAAAAAGGUGUAUGACAGAGACCGACAGCUCUACUGAAGACUUUCUUGUUUUCCUGUUGGUUUGGAAGAUGCUCUCUCCCAUGGAAUAGUUGCCUUGGUCACAGCAAGUGAGACUUCUGCCCAAGCUCAGCACUUUCAUAACCUAUGCAAAAUAGCUAAAUCCCAGUCUCAGAGGGGACUAGAAAUUUUUAAGCAGAGCUAGGUUUAGCAUCUUCAAGUCUUCAGAUCAUUUCCUUUUCAUCUCAGACAACGUUUUGGUCACACCAUUGUGUGUAAAACAUUACUUAAGGUUUAGGGUGGGACUGGUAACCUGAUGUUUGUAAAUUAAUCUCAACUGAUUUAUUUUAAAUUUUGAAAGAUGCUUGUGAGAAGGAGAAAGAAGAUCUUUAGAUCAUCCUUGCUUCCUCUGACUGAUGCCCAACUGCUACCAUUUUUGAUAACUGGUGGUCAGUUUAUUUAUGGUUUCAAGGUUGCCUAUGGAAAAAAAAAAAUAGAGGCAGAAACUUGAUUAUAAAAUGACACACCUCCAAAAUUGGUGGUGUUUAGGAUGCCUGUCACUGAAAAGGUAGCACUUGAAAUAAAUUGCAAGUGAAAUUCAUAUCAGGAUAAACUUCAGAAUUUUCCCAGAUAUCCCGAAAAGUCUGGAAAAAGAGAUGGGUGCCUGGGGCCCUGCUUAGGCAUCUGUUUGCCAUAUGUUUUUGCUAAGGAAAUGAAAUAAAAUGUUAGAAAAUCUGCAAGAGGUAAAAUGUAGGAGGCACAAAACUAAAAAUAGCAAAGCUUACAUGGAGACUGGGCAUCUGGGUCUUCAUGGGCUCAAAAUGGAGUAUAGUUAAUGCAAUUUUUACCAAGUGCUUCUGAAGCACAGCGGUACUGGUCCUCACAGAAGCCGUAUCUGAUCCAUGGAUCUCCACCAGUCCCAGAAAAUGGAGAAAGACUAGAUUGAUUGCCCACAGACAGGUAGAGGAUAAGCUAGAAACAUCAGCAAAUUAAAAGUUACACGUCUGAGGUGCAGGUGUCAGGUGCGAAGGGAAACGUGUCGCGACACCGGGCACAGACUAUUGUGAGAUAACCCUAGGAAACAAAAAUGUCAAUGUGUACUAAGUGAUACAGACCACUGGCAGGGAAAUGAAGAGAAAAGCUGGAUGCUCAACUAGAUGGGGAACAACUGGAAAGACAAAAUAGCACAAGGAAAAAGUUGCUGGAGAGGCUUGUGUGGAAAUUAUGGGAACAAAAGCAAAGACAACUUAGAGCAACAAGUUGGGAACAUUGCAGAAAUCAGAAUGUAAAUAUGUAUGGUAAGCUGCAUAACUGACAUAAAAGCUGUACACAAAGCCUAUUAAACCCAUUAAAAGCUAAUAUACAUAUGUCCUUCAGAAAAUGAACAACCCAUGUUAUUUUAUUAUUGCUCUGGCUACUGAUGUUAUUUCUCAGCUCUAGACUUUGAGCUGGUGAAACAGGAAUAGCUCUGUCAAAACUAAUGGAGACAGCAGUUUGCUCCAGAAGGAGAACUGGGUCUUGCCUGUCUGCGUGGAACCUUUGUCAAGAUGGUGUGUGAAGAGAUACCUCUACUGGUGCCUGGAAGUUGAGUAACUCUUUGGGUCAGCAAUGAAAUAUUAGCAUGAGUGUUGCUUGGACUGGAUGAAUCAUUCAUUGUAAGUGGAUUACAGGAUAAUUUUAGCUUUUUUGUUGUUGUUCACAGAAAUCAUUCAUGAACUGAUCCUGAUUCUUCAUGAUAGACUGAUUUUCAAAGUCCUCACCAGAAUAUUGAGAAGGAAAAUAUUGUCUGUGCUCGUGAGUUGUUAACUUUCACUGUUUGCUCCUUGUGACAUAUAACUGGUCACUUCAAUUGCAUUGCGGUUUUUCUGCUCCAUGAUUAAUUAUUGGAGUUUGGAUACUGAAUUAGAGCAUGAUUACUAAUGAUUAGUGAACACAACAUAGUCUUAAUUUUGCAUGAAUAGUCAUGUUUGUAUCUGAGAAUUCAACUGAAAACAGAUAUUCCCAACAUGUUUAUGCCAAUAAAAAAUCAGAGAUAAGGAAUAAAAAGGAGCAAGAAGUUGGCAAGGAAAGAUACGUUCAGAAUUUGAAUACAAUUGAAUAAACUUUAUUUUUGCAACAUUUAUCAUGUUCUAAAUUUUGUCAUGUCGUCAACACAUUUAGGAGCUCAGAAGUGCUCUUCUUAGAUUGGACUUCUAUUUGCAGGUUGACCUACAAAUUUGUCAGGAGAAUAUAGUUAGAGCCAGAAAAAAACCUGUCAGGCAACUCAGGCUGCCCUUGUGCAUAAAGAUCAUGAAGGCUCAUCCCUAAACUGAACCCUACAACUUCAGACACACUGGAGCAUUCAGACAGCCAGGACAAAGUCAUUAGGUUCCACCAAGACUUGCAUCCCCUGCCAUUGCUGGGAAAAAAUAGUUUCAACUUAAUUUAUGAUGAUCUAUAUGUAUGUCUCUGAUUCCUUGCUCUGAAGUGAGUUUUCAGUAUUGUGAGAUUGUAUUUCUUACGCCUUAAUACAUGUCCUCACAUCUCUGUACAAUUUUUUAAUAUGCUCUUUUAAUCAGGCAAUUCAUAUCACUUCCUACAAAUUGCCUGUUCUUUUUGCUUACCACCCCACUUGUUUUGGUAUCCCGUGCAAAUUUAAUCAGUGGAAACUAGCAGUGACAAAAUCAUUCACUAACAGACUGAUAGGAACCAAUUCCCAAGUUAUAUCCUUUUAGUUCCAUAUAAUGUGGUGUUCAAAAUCCAUGGUCAAAUGAUUUGAAGACACGGGCCUAUGAAUAUUCUGUAUGAACACGGUUAUCUUUGUGAAGUAGAGCAAUAGCUGUGAACAAAAAGAAAAUUGAAGAAGAUAAAAUAAAUAAGGUUUG
Tyto alba (common barn owl) is the source of this 5263-nucleotide long non-coding RNA. RefSeq lists it as uncharacterized. NCBI's taxonomy places the organism in Eukaryota, Metazoa, Chordata, Aves, Strigiformes, Tytonidae. The transcript has 3 exons. The record is from RefSeq and is a predicted model, not a curated record.